UGCAUCUUAAGGCUCAGCCUUGUGUUGAGAUUUCCUGGGAAGGAACUCUCCAAGCAUCUGGGCGUCCGUCGUGCCUGAACCGCAACACACUGCGUGCAGGGAUCUCGGCAGCAGUCGCCAAAAACCGUCUA
RNAcentral lists this unclassified non-coding RNA (131 nucleotides) under uncultured Leotiomycetes. RNAcentral's name for it is "sequence contains ITS2". The record is from RNAcentral. Lineage: Eukaryota; Fungi; Ascomycota; Leotiomycetes.